RNAcentral lists this ribosomal RNA (227 nucleotides) under uncultured bacterium. RNAcentral's name for it is "partial 16S ribosomal RNA". It matches the Rfam family "Bacterial small subunit ribosomal RNA", at positions 114 to 334 of the family's 1533-position model. The record is from RNAcentral.
AACGUAGGUAACCUGCCCAUGUGUCCGGGAUAACUGCUGGAAACGGUAGCUAAAACCGGAUAGGUAUACAGAGCGCAUGCUCAGUAUAUUAAAGCGCCCAUCAAGGCGUGAACAUGGAUGGACCUGCGGCGCAUUAGCUAGUUGGUGAGGUAACGGCCCACCAAGGCGAUGAUGCGUAGCCGGCCUGAGAGGGUAAACGGCCACAUUGGGACUGAGGCACGGCCCAA